Molecule: ribosomal RNA, 464 nt
Filed under: uncultured bacterium
Lineage: Bacteria
Description: bacterial SSU rRNA
Rfam family: Bacterial small subunit ribosomal RNA
Source: RNAcentral
UUAACACAUGCAAGUCGAACGAAGACAACUACCUUGCUUGCAAGAGAGUUGACUUAGUGGCGGACGGGUGAGUAACGCGUGGGUAACCUGCCUCAUACAGGGGGGAUAACAGUUGGAAACGACUGCUAAGACCGCAUAACCCGCUAGUGUCGCAUGACACGGACGGAAAAUAUUUAUAGGUAUGAGAUGGGCCCGCGUCUGAUUAGCUAGUUGGUAAGGUAACGGCUUACCAAGGCGACGAUCAGUAGCCGACUUGAGAGAGUGAUCGGCCACAUUGGGACUGAGACACGGCCCAAACUCCUACGGGAGGCAGCAGUGGGGAAUAUUGGACAAUGGGGGAAACCCUGAUCCAGCGAACCGCCGCGUGAGUGAAGAAGUAUUUCGGUAUGUAAAGCUCUAUCAGCAGGGAAGAUAAUGACAGUACCUGACUAAGAAGCCCCGGCUAACUACGUGCCAGCAGCGGC